RNAcentral lists this non-coding RNA (179 nucleotides) under Chloroflexota bacterium. Its description in RNAcentral is "Chloroflexi bacterium (anaerobic digester metagenome) 6S RNA". It matches the Rfam family "6S / SsrS RNA". Rfam says of the family: E. coli 6S RNA was the first non coding RNA to be sequenced, but its function was unknown until recently. It consists of 184 nucleotides that fold into an extended hairpin structure with a large single-stranded internal bulge. Lineage: Bacteria; Bacillati; Chloroflexota. The record is from RNAcentral.
AGUACCCUGCUGUGUACGUGAUGUAGCAAACAAGUUUUGGGCCAACACCUACAAAAAGGAUCCGAACUUUUUCUGGUGACGUGAUAGACACUUUAUAGUCAAGACCGAGCCUGAAAGUAGGAUCAUCCUGCUUAUUAGCAGGUUCAAAACCACCCUGCACACGGCAUAGCGGGGCUAAC